AAGACCUUGCGCUUUUGGAGCGGCCGAUGCCUGAUUAGCUUGUUGGUGAGGUAAAAGCUCACCAAGGCUUCGAUCAGUAGCUGGUCUGAGAGGACGGCCAGCCACGCUGGGACUGAGACACGGCCCAGACUCCUACGGGAGGCAGCAGUGGGGAAUUUUGGACAAUGGGCGCAAGCCUGAUCCAGCCAUGCCGCGUGAGUGAAGAAGGCCUUCGGGUUGUAAAGCUCUUUCAGCCGGGAAGAAAAGGUUGCGAUUAAUAAUCGCAAUUUAUGACGGUACCGGAAGAAGAAGCACCGGCUAACUACGUGCCAGCAGCCGCGGUAAUACGUAGGGUGCGAGCGUUAAUCGGAAUUACUGGGCGUAAAGGGUGCGCAGGCGGUUUUGUAAGUCAGAUGUGAAAUCCCCGGGCUUAACCUGGGAACU
This 423-nucleotide ribosomal RNA is filed under the name uncultured bacterium. Its description in RNAcentral is "bacterial SSU rRNA". It matches the Rfam family "Bacterial small subunit ribosomal RNA", at positions 207 to 622 of the family's 1533-position model. The record is from RNAcentral.